UAUAAAUAACUUAGAUACAACAUAAACUACAAAAGUGUUUUAGCCAGAAUAAGGAAGAUAUUGUGUGUAGUGAAUCUGCUUGAGGUGGAGGAACGGAUGUAUUACUGUUGCUAGUCGGCUCCACUCUCCAGAACAAUUUGGAGCAAGCUGAAGUCUGAAGUUUAUCAAACCUUUGAAAGCCGAACCACUGAAUUAGACCUGCCUCCCUCAACUAUCCGCUCAAUCUUCAUCUAAAAUUUCCUGCGAUGAAAACGAGCGGGUUAGGGUCGCUUUCGUUUCAUCGCGGGCGGGUUUUAGGUGCGGAGCGGAGAUCCGCUCGGUUAGGGUCGGUUUCGCUUCAUCGCGGGCGGGUUUUAGGUGCGGAGCGGAGCAGAGAUCCGCUCGGUUAGGGUCGGUUUCGCUUCAUCGCGGGCGGGUUUUAGGUGCGGAGCGGAGAGGAGGCGACCCAGGUCUAGCCUAGCCUAGCCUAGCCUAGCUGGCU
Molecule: long non-coding RNA, 481 nt
Organism: Astyanax mexicanus (Mexican tetra)
Lineage: Eukaryota; Metazoa; Chordata; Actinopteri; Characiformes; Acestrorhamphidae
Exons: 3
Source: RefSeq, a predicted model, not a curated record